Molecule: ribosomal RNA, 465 nt
Filed under: uncultured bacterium
Lineage: Bacteria
Description: partial 16S ribosomal RNA
Rfam family: Bacterial small subunit ribosomal RNA
Source: RNAcentral
GAUGAACGCUGGCGGCGUGCUUAACACAUGCAAGUCGAACGGAAAGGCUCCUGCUUGCAGGGGUACUCGAGUGGCGAACGGGUGAGUAACACGUGGGUGAUCUGCCCUGCACUUCGGGAUAAGCCUGGGAGACUGGGUCUAAUACCGGAUAGGACCACAUUUUGGAUGGUGUGGUGGAAAGUUUUUCGGUGUGGGAUGAGCUCGCGGCCUAUCAGCUUGUUGGUGGGGUAAUGGCCUACCAAGGCGUCUACGGGUAGCCGGCCUGAGAGGGUGUACGGCCACAUUGGGACUGAGAUACGGCCCCGACUCCUACGGGAGGCAGAAGUGGGGAAUAUUGCACAAUGGGCGCAAGCCUGAUGCAGCGACGCCGCGUGGGGGAUGACGGCCUUCGGGUUGUAAACUCCUUUCGCUAGGGACGAAGCGCAAGUGACGGUACCUGGAGAAGAAGCACCGGCUAACUACGUG